AUACGUAGGGUGCAAGCGUUAAUCGGAAUUACUGGGCGUAAAGCGUGCGCAGGCGGUUUUGUAAGACAGUGGUGAAAUCCCCGGGCUCAACCUGGGAACUGCCAUUGUGACUGCAAGGCUGGAGUGCGGCAGAGGGGGAUGGAAUUCCGCGUGUAGCAGUGAAAUGCGUAGAUAUGCGGAAGAACACCGAUGGCGAAGGCAAUCCCCUGGGCCUGCACUGACGCUCAUGCACGAAAGCGUGGGGAGCAAACAGGAUUAGAUACCCUGGUAGUCCACGCCCUAAACGAUGUCAACUGGUUGUUGGGGAUUUAUUUUCUCAGUAACGAAGCUAACGCGUGAAGUUGACCGCCUGGGGAGUACGGUCGCAAGGUUAAAACUCAAAUGAAUUGACGGGG
RNAcentral lists this ribosomal RNA (395 nucleotides) under uncultured bacterium. RNAcentral describes it as "partial 16S ribosomal RNA". It matches the Rfam family "Bacterial small subunit ribosomal RNA", at positions 523 to 918 of the family's 1533-position model. The record is from RNAcentral.